GCGACAAUUUUUGAAAUCGGCCGCUGAGUACAAGAAGAAGAUCGAAUUUGACGGCGUGCUUCUCAUUGAACCAAAGCCUCAGGAACCCACGAAGCAUCAAUAUGAUUGGGAUGCUGCAAC
This is a long non-coding RNA of Selaginella moellendorffii, 120 nucleotides long. RefSeq lists it as uncharacterized. The record is from RefSeq and is a predicted model, not a curated record. Lineage: Eukaryota; Viridiplantae; Streptophyta; Lycopodiopsida; Selaginellales; Selaginellaceae. The transcript is spliced from 3 exons.